UUUAAAGUCUGACCUGCUCAAUGAAUUAAAUUUAAAUAGCCGCAGUAUUUUGACUGUGCAAAGGUAGCAUAAUCAUUAGUUUUUUAAUUGAAAGCUGGAAUGAAAGGUUUGAUGAGAAAAUAACUGUCUCAAUUUUAAUGAAUUAGAAAUUUAUUUUUAAGUAAAAAAGCUUAAAUUUUUUAAAAAGACGAGAAGACCCUAUAGAGUUUUAUAUAAAAAUUUAGUUAUUUUUUUUAGAAUUUUAUAUUUUAAUAAAGUUUUUAUAUUUUAUUGGGGUGAUAGAAAAAUUUAAAUAACUUUUUUAGAAAUUAACAUAAAUUAAUGAAUAUUUGAUCCUAUAUUUUAGAUUAUAAGAAUAAAUUACCUUAGGGAUAACAGCGUAAUUUUUUUAAAGAGUUCAAAUCGAAAAAAAAGAUUG
Molecule: ribosomal RNA, 418 nt
Filed under: Pyrochroidae sp. UPOL ZL0022
Lineage: Eukaryota; Metazoa; Arthropoda; Insecta; Coleoptera; Pyrochroidae
Description: partial 16S ribosomal RNA
Source: RNAcentral